UAAUUAGCUAAUUGGCAGAAAAAUGCAUUAGAAUUAGAAUCUAAUAAAACUUCA
RNAcentral lists this transfer RNA (54 nucleotides) under Habronattus ocala. RNAcentral's name for it is "tRNA-Leu". The record is from RNAcentral. Lineage: Eukaryota; Metazoa; Arthropoda; Arachnida; Araneae; Salticidae.